ACUCAGCUGACGAGUCCCGAAUACGACGAAACGCGUGUCUUGGAU
RNAcentral lists this non-coding RNA (45 nucleotides) under Schistosoma mansoni. Lineage: Eukaryota; Metazoa; Platyhelminthes; Trematoda; Strigeidida; Schistosomatidae. The record is from RNAcentral.